Molecule: ribosomal RNA, 253 nt
Filed under: uncultured bacterium
Lineage: Bacteria
Description: partial 16S ribosomal RNA
Rfam family: Bacterial small subunit ribosomal RNA
Source: RNAcentral
UACAGAGGGUGCUAGCGUUGUUCGGAAUCAUUGGGCGUAAAGGGCGUGUAGGCGGUUUGUUAAGUCAUGUGUGAAAGCCCCCGGCUCAACUGGGGAGGGUCACGCGAUACUGAUCGACUCGAAGGCAGGAGAGGGUAGUGGAAUUCCCGGUGUAGUGGUGAAAUGCGUAGAUAUCAGGAGGAACACCGGUGGCGAAGGCGGGUCUCUGGGCCGAUACUGACGCUGAGGAGCGAAAGCGUGGGGAGCGAACAGG